GAUGAACGCUGGCGGCGUGCCUAAUACAUGCAAGUCGAGCGAACGGACGAGAAGCUUGCUUCUCUGAUGUUAGCGGCGGACGGGUGAGUAACACGUGGAUAACCUACCUAUAAGACUGGGAUAACUUCGGGAAACCGGAGCUAAUACCGGAUAAUAUUUUGAACCGCAUGGUUCAAAAGUGAAAGACGGUCUUGCUGUCACUUAUAGAUGGAUCCGCGCUGCAUUAGCUAGUUGGUAAGGUAACGGCUUACCAAGGCAACGAUGCAUAGCCGACCUGAGAGGGUGAUCGGCCACACUGGAACUGAGACACGGUCCAGACUCCUACGGGAGGCAGCAGUAGGGAAUCUGCCGCAAUGGGCGAAAGCCUGACGGAGCAACGCCGCGUGAGUGAUGAAGGUCUUCGGAUCGUAAAACUCUGUUAUUAGGUAAGAACAUAUGUGUAAGUAACUGUGCACAUCUUGACGGUACCUAAUCAGAAAGCCACGGCUAACUACGUG
RNAcentral lists this ribosomal RNA (497 nucleotides) under uncultured bacterium. Its description in RNAcentral is "partial 16S ribosomal RNA". It matches the Rfam family "Bacterial small subunit ribosomal RNA", at positions 28 to 507 of the family's 1533-position model. The record is from RNAcentral.